GCACCCGUAGCUCAGAUGGAUAGAGCGCCGGUCUACGAAACCGAAGGUCGCCCGUUCGAAUCGGGCCGGGUGCGCCA
This 77-nucleotide transfer RNA is filed under the name Acidobacteriota bacterium. RNAcentral's name for it is "tRNA-Arg". It matches the Rfam family "tRNA". From Rfam's summary of the family: Transfer RNA (tRNA) molecules are approximately 80 nucleotides in length. The record is from RNAcentral. Lineage: Bacteria; Pseudomonadati; Acidobacteriota.